GGAAAUUGAGGUAAGAGCUACUGCUGGAUGGAGGCCUGUGCCUGCUGCCACAUAAGCCUUAGUGAGGUUUAGAUCCACCUUUUUAUCCAUGGGAUCUCUGAAUGAUCCUGCAUCGUCAACUGGUAGGGUAGUGUGCUUGGCCAGUCUUACUACAGCCGCAUCUACCUUAGGAGCAGAAUCCCAGCAGCUGGAGUCCUUCCUCCUGAA
Non-coding RNA from Pelobates cultripes (western spadefoot toad), 207 nucleotides. The record is from the annotation of a GenBank genome assembly. Lineage: Eukaryota; Metazoa; Chordata; Amphibia; Anura; Pelobatidae.